UACAGGGGGGGCAAGCGUUGUUCGGAAUUACUGGGCGUAAAGGGCCAGUAGGCGGCUAACUAAGUCCGGUGUGAAAGUCACAGGCUCAACCUGUGAAUGCCGCUGGAAACUGUCUGGCUUGAGUCCGGAAGGGGCGAGUGGAAUUCCUGGUGUAGCGGUGAAAUGCGCAGAUAUCAGGAGGAACACCAAUGGCGAAGGCAGCUCGCUGGAACGGUACUGACGCUGAGGCGCGAAGGCGUGGGGAGCGAACAGG
RNAcentral lists this ribosomal RNA (253 nucleotides) under uncultured bacterium. Its description in RNAcentral is "partial 16S ribosomal RNA". It matches the Rfam family "Bacterial small subunit ribosomal RNA", at positions 524 to 776 of the family's 1533-position model. The record is from RNAcentral.